Long non-coding RNA from Gasterosteus aculeatus aculeatus (three-spined stickleback), 369 nucleotides. The record is from Ensembl. NCBI's taxonomy places the organism in Eukaryota, Metazoa, Chordata, Actinopteri, Perciformes, Gasterosteidae.
GGGGUUACCAGAGGUUUUUGCGAGAGCGGUUGUUUAGCUUGAAUCUUGGAAAAGUAUUAGUAAUUGCGGGAUCUUUUUACGCUGACUUGAAGAGAGGUUCUCAACGCAAUGCCAAAGUCCACAUCAUCACGCAGCGAUAGACAUGAGCUAUCUGCCGCACAGCCCUCUGUGACCCGGGCAGGGCGCGGCGGUGUGGUGUGGAAAGACGUUGGAGGAGCGGUGAAAACCUUUCGUCGACACUGGCUUCAGAGGCAGACAGUUGAGAAGAACGUUCCCCGACUCGGACCCCCUCAUAAGAAGGAAGAAGUGAGAGGACGGGCAGUGAUGCAGAGAGCACAGGGAGAGGAGAAACACCAGGUCGAAUAGAGA